Molecule: ribosomal RNA, 246 nt
Filed under: uncultured bacterium
Lineage: Bacteria
Description: partial 16S ribosomal RNA
Rfam family: Bacterial small subunit ribosomal RNA
Source: RNAcentral
GAUCAUGGCUCAGGAUGAACGCUAGCUACAGGCUUAACACAUGCAAGUCGAACGGUAACAUAAAGAAGCUUGCUUCUUUGAUGACGAGUGGCGGACGGGUGAGUAAUGCUUGGGAAUCUAGCUUAUGGAGGGGGAUAACUACGGGAAACUGUAGCUAAUACCGCGUAAUAUCGAAAGAUUAAAGUGUGGGACCUUCGGGCCACAUGCCAUAAGAUGAGCCCAAGUGGGAUUAGGUAGUUGGUGAGG